UAUUACUAAAAAAAUCUCCAAUGACCAAGCGAUACCAGUUCAACAUCCCAAAAGUGUUAGUGCCCCACAAAAACUCAAAAUGCAACAGUUAAUUUUUUAUUUUUCAUUCGGUAUUUUUCUCGUCUCAGUCUCCGCCUGGAGCAAAGAAACUCAUCUCAUGAUUCAAAAUUUUUCGAAAGAUGACAUCAUAACGACAGUUGUGAAUGGCGUAGACAGUUAUGAUUUUGAGAAAGGAAACGGUCCAAUAGAGAAGUUCCAAGGAGCGGCAAUUCCUGCAGGAGCUUUUCUUGAAAAGAGAAUCGAAGUGGACUAUUUCGCGUCAAAUUGUCCUUUUACCAUGACUUUUUCGUUUCGCGAUGGCUCAAAAACUUGGUUUAGAAUUAAUCAAAAGCAUGUACUCGGCUCGAAAGCAGAAUUUUCGUACAAAGGGAGCCGCGAGAUUACGUACUAUAAAUCUGGAAAAACUCUUGUUGUAACUGUUAAAGAUAUUAGUAAAACGGAUACACCUACUGUACCCAAAGAGACAGCUAACAGUAAAACGGUUACACCCACUAGACCGGAAGAAAUAGAUAACAGUAAAACGGAUACACCAUCUACACCCAAAGAGACAGAUAACUGUAAAACGGUUACACCGAUUAUACCGAAAGAAACAGAUAAUAGUAAAACGGAUACACCCGCUAUACCCAAAGAGACAGAUAAGUCAGAUAAUAGUAAACAGAUUAUACCCACUGCACCCAAAAACACACAACAAAUAUCUGAAGACCAGUUUCGCCUACCAAUUUGGUAUUAUCAUCUGCAACAGUUAUUUUUUCACAUAACUAACUUAAUAAAUGCUGUUAUCGGUAUAUUUUAUCACAUAAGUUACUUAAAAGACGCUGUUAUCGGUAUAUACAGUUAUUUUUAUUACUUUAACUGAAGAUUAAUGGGCAGAGGAGUCGUGUUAUGUCUGUGGAACUGUACGAUUAUAAUCAGUACUCACUGUUAUAACAAAUUAUAGACCAACAAAUAUAGUUUGAAAACUAAUUAAUUAAUCUAAGGACUUUGACGACGAAAGUUUCUAGUUCUCUAAUUCUUCUGGCUGUCAAUACGGGUAAAGUGUAAACGUCCUUAAAAAAUAAAUAAUUAUUUAUA
Molecule: long non-coding RNA, 1131 nt
Organism: Zophobas morio
Lineage: Eukaryota; Metazoa; Arthropoda; Insecta; Coleoptera; Tenebrionidae
Exons: 2
Source: RefSeq, a predicted model, not a curated record